GACGAACGCUGGCGGCGUGCUUAACACAUGCAAGUCGAACGGAAAGGCCCUGCUUUUGUGGGGUGCUCGAGUGGCGAACGGGUGAGUAACACGUGAGUAACCUGCCCUUGACUUUGGGAUAACUUCAGGAAACUGGGGCUAAUACCGGAUAGGAGCUCCUGCUGCGUGUUGGGGGUUGGAAAGUUUCGGCGGUUGGGGAUGGACUCGCGGCCUAUCAGCUUGUUGGUGGGGUAGUGGCUUACCAAGGCGUUGACGGGUAGCCGGCCUGAGAGGGGGACCGGCGACAGGGGGACUGAGAGACGGCCGAGAGUCCUACGGGAGGCAGCGGGGGGGAAUAUUGCACAAGGGGCGGAAGCCUGAUGCAGCGGCGCCGCGUGAGGGAUGACGGCCUUCGGGUGGUAAACCGCUUUCAGCACGGAAGAAGCGAAAGUGACGGUACGUGAAGAAGAAGCGCCGGCUAACUACGUG
Molecule: ribosomal RNA, 468 nt
Filed under: uncultured bacterium
Lineage: Bacteria
Description: partial 16S ribosomal RNA
Rfam family: Bacterial small subunit ribosomal RNA
Source: RNAcentral